RNAcentral lists this ribosomal RNA (253 nucleotides) under uncultured bacterium. RNAcentral describes it as "partial 16S ribosomal RNA". It matches the Rfam family "Bacterial small subunit ribosomal RNA", at positions 524 to 776 of the family's 1533-position model. The record is from RNAcentral.
UACAGAGGUGGCAAGCGUUGUUCGGAAUGACUGGGCGUAAAGGGCGCGUAGGCGGCCUUGUCAGUCAGACGUGAAAUCCCCGGGCUUAACCUGGGAACUGCAUCUGUGACUGCAUCGCUGGAGUGCGGCAGAGGGGGAUGGAAUUCCGCGUGUAGCAGUGAAAUGCGUAGAUAUGCGGAGGAACACCGAUGGCGAAGGCAAUCCCCUGGGCCUGCACUGACGCUCAUGCACGAAAGCGUGGGGAGCAAACAGG